Molecule: ribosomal RNA, 413 nt
Filed under: uncultured microorganism
Description: bacterial SSU rRNA
Rfam family: Archaeal small subunit ribosomal RNA
Source: RNAcentral
GCGCAGCAGUCGAGAAUCCUCCGCAAUGCGGGAAACCGUGACGGGGUCACCCCGAGUGCCACCCGAUGAGGGUGGCUUUUCCCCGGUCUAAAAAGCCGGGGGCAAUAAGCGGGGGCAAGUCUGGUGUCAGCCGCCGCGGUAAUACCAGCCCCGCGAGUGGUCGGGACGUUUAUUGGGCCUAAAGCGUCCGUAGCCGGCUCGGUAAGUCCCUCCUUAAAUCCACGGGCUCAACCCGUGGGCUGGGAGGGAUACUGCCGGGCUAGGGGGCGGGAGAGGCCGAGGGUACUCCCGGGGUAGGGGUGAAAUCCGUUAAUCCCGGGAGGACCACCAGUGGCGAAGGCGCUCGGCUGGAACGCGCCCGACGGUGAGGGACGAAAGCUGGGGGAGCAAAGGGGAUUAGAUACCCGGGUAGU